GACACGGGGGACACGGGGGAACACGGGGCCAGCGAACACGCGCGGUGCUGAAGGGACAGCGCCGGGGGCAGCGGGGGCGCGGGGACAGCGGGCACGGAGCGACACGCGCGGUGCUGAACGGACAGCGAGCGGCGGUGGCACCGCGCGGCGCGGCCACCCCGGACCCAGCUGUCCCCCGAUCCCCACCGGUGUCCCCCGAUCCCCACCGUCCCUCCCAGCUCCCCCCGUCCCCUCCAUCCUGUCCAGUCCUUCCACUGUCCCCAAUCCUCCCACAAUGUCCCCA
Molecule: long non-coding RNA, 283 nt
Organism: Oenanthe melanoleuca
Lineage: Eukaryota; Metazoa; Chordata; Aves; Passeriformes; Muscicapidae
Exons: 3
Source: RefSeq, a predicted model, not a curated record